GGCUGGUCCAGUGGUAGUGGGUUAUCAGAACUUAAUAAUUUAGUGCCACUAAAGUUUGUAUACAGCCCCCACUACUAAAUUUGACUGGCAUUAA
RNAcentral lists this Y RNA (94 nucleotides) under Microcebus murinus (gray mouse lemur). RNAcentral describes it as "Y RNA (ENSMICG00000020186.3)". It matches the Rfam family "Y RNA". From Rfam's summary of the family: Y RNAs are components of the Ro ribonucleoprotein particle (Ro RNP), in association with Ro60 and La proteins. Lineage: Eukaryota; Metazoa; Chordata; Mammalia; Primates; Cheirogaleidae. The record is from Rfam by way of RNAcentral.